RNAcentral lists this long non-coding RNA (367 nucleotides) under Struthio camelus australis. Its description in RNAcentral is "lncRNA (ENSSCUG00000002545.1)". Lineage: Eukaryota; Metazoa; Chordata; Aves; Struthioniformes; Struthionidae. The record is from RNAcentral.
AAAAAAAAGUUGUCAACAUACGCUUGCCAGGAUUAGACGCGGCAUACCUAGUUUUCAAGCAGAAGUGGAGUAUCUAUGUCAGAAACUCAGACAACUUUAAGGAAAAUCAUCAAAAGGGCACCCUUUCAGAUAAAAACGUGGACCUGAUUGGCAUCAUCCUGUAUCCAUGGAAACGUUAUUCUGAGGAGGAGAAAAAAAAGUGGUUCUGUAGGAACUCAGGUACGUACCUGGCAUUAAUUUAAAUGCUCUCCAGGACAGUAUCAAUAGAGAACUUUCCCAGUAAUGUUUACAGCAGAACAGUUGUACUGAUUAUAACCUAUUUUAAAGUAAUAAUAAAUUAAUAGUAACCUUCCCUUCUAAAGUAUGA